Molecule: ribosomal RNA, 253 nt
Filed under: uncultured bacterium
Lineage: Bacteria
Description: partial 16S ribosomal RNA
Rfam family: Bacterial small subunit ribosomal RNA
Source: RNAcentral
UACAGAGGGUGCGAACGUUGCUCGGAAUUACUGGGCGUAAAGCGCGUGUAGGCGGAUUGCUAAGUCGGGCGUGAAAUCCCCAGGCUCAACCUGGGAACUGCGCUCGAAACUGGCAGUCUCGAGUAUCGGAGAGGGUGGCGGAAUUCCUGGUGUAGAGGUGAAAUUCGUAGAUAUUAGGAGGAACACCGGUGGCGAAGGCGGUCAUUUGGACGAUUACUGAUGCUGAGAUGCGAAAGUGUGGGGAGCAAACAGG